RNAcentral lists this ribosomal RNA (252 nucleotides) under uncultured bacterium. RNAcentral describes it as "partial 16S ribosomal RNA". It matches the Rfam family "Bacterial small subunit ribosomal RNA", at positions 526 to 779 of the family's 1533-position model. The record is from RNAcentral.
CGUAGGUGGCGAACGUUAUCCGGAAUAACUGGGCGUAAAGGGUCCGUAGGCGGCUGCGCAGGUCUGGCGUGAAAGCUCUCGGCUAAACUGAGAGAGUGCGUUGGAAACCGCGUAGCUAGCAUCACGCAGGGACUGGUGGAAUUCCCGGUGUAGUGGUGGAAUGCGUAGAGAUCGGGAGGAACCUCUAGAGCGAAGGCAACCGGCUAGGCGAUGAUGGACGCUGAGGACGAAAGCGUGGGAGCGAACAGGAUU